This 1640-nucleotide long non-coding RNA is filed under the name Olea europaea subsp. europaea. The record is from RNAcentral. Lineage: Eukaryota; Viridiplantae; Streptophyta; Magnoliopsida; Lamiales; Oleaceae.
CCAUAAGUCGUGACCACCAUUGCGGGGCAAUUUUGUCUAAAAGAAAGAGUGAUUUUUCACUUGCCUUCGAUUUUUUCUCUUCUCUACUUCUGAUUUCUUUUGUGGCCCAUAUACCAUAAAUAUUUCCAAACUUUGUCGUGUUUAAUUACACUCCUACAUAUUAAACCUUGAUAUUUCGUCUAUCACAUAACAAUGCUUUCACCACCAAAUAUUCUCGGCAACAAACUUAAGAAAAAAAUUUCGAUUGUUUUUUGUGGAAAUAAGCCCGUCAUUUCCCUCAGCUUUACGUGCUAUUCCUUCUCAUUGUCCCUAUUGAACUUCUAUUUUCGUAACAGAAAUGAAUACCAUGGAAAUGACUUCAAGUCAAACUACCAACGGUACAAAUAAUGUGUUUCCACUGUUGGUUAUACCACUUCAAAAUGCUACGAUCCAACAUGGAUUGGAAAAGUUUGGAGGCAUGGACUUUAAGAGAUGGCAACAAAAGAUGUUGUUCUAUCUUACCACUCUAAAUUUGGCAAAGUUUCGAAAAGAGUCUACACCAAUGGUACAAGAAGGAGAAAAUAAUCAUGAAUUGAUUAUCAUUUUGGAUGUAUGGAAGCACUCGGACUUCUUAUGCAAGAACUAUAUACUAAAUGGAUUAGAUGAUACACUAUAUAGAGUGUAUAGUUUGAAGGACUCGGCCAAGGAUCUAUGAGAUUCGUUGGAAAAAAGUACAAAACCGAUGACAUUGGAACGAAAAAGUUCAUUAUUAGCAAGUUCUUGGACUAUAAGAUGGUAGACUCCAAAAUAGUGAAAAGUCAGGUGCAAGAAUUUCAAGUUCUACUAUAUGACAUACAUGCCGAAAAAAGGAAUUAAGCGAAUAUUUCCAAGUUGCAGCCAUCAUUAAGAAACUCUCUCCUAUGUGUAGAGAUUUCAAAAACCAUCUCAAGUACAAGCAAAAAGAGAUGAACUUGGAAGAAUUGAUAGCCCGCUUGAGGACUGAAGGAGCCAAAAGAAAAAUCGAGAGAAUGUCUAUUGUCCAACUUAGAGCAAACUUUGAUGAAACCAAUUCUAAAAUUGUCAACAAGAAGCGCAAGAUCUCUGUUGAUAGACCAAGAAGAGACAACUCCAAAAAAGCCAAGAAGUUUAAAGGCAACUGUUACAAUUGUGGAAAGGUCGGACAUUGUUUAAGCGAAUGUCAAAAGUUGAAGAACGCAGAAGCAAACAUGAUCGAAAUGGACACCCUGUUCGAAGGGAUACAAUAAAUGAAUCUGUCUACAGUUGUUUCCAAGUGUAAAAUCGUUGGAAACUCAAGGGAUUAGUGGGUUGACACUAGUACUACUCGUAAUAUUUGUGCAGAAAAAGCAAUAUUCUCCAACUAUCAAGAACUGAAUGGAGAACAACUUUUCAUGGUGAACUCUGUAAGUUACAAAGUUGAAGGACAAGUGAAAGUUACUUUGAAUAUGACAUACGGUAAAGAACUCAUCCUUAACAAUGUCGUUCAUGUACCGAACAUUCGAAAAAAUCUUGUAUCCAGGUCUCUACAUAGCAAAAAUAGCUUUAAGCUUGUUUGCAUCAGAUAAAUUUGUACUUACUAAGAAUGAGAUGUGUGUAAGAAAAUGAUACAUACGUGAUGGAAUGUUCAAGAUGAACGUUCUUAC